This 508-nucleotide ribosomal RNA is filed under the name uncultured bacterium. Its description in RNAcentral is "partial 16S ribosomal RNA". It matches the Rfam family "Bacterial small subunit ribosomal RNA", at positions 28 to 507 of the family's 1533-position model. The record is from RNAcentral.
GACGAACGCUGGCGGCGUGCCUAAUACAUGCAAGUCGAACGCUUCUUUCCUCCCGAGUGCUUGCACUCAAUUGGAAAGAGGAGUGGCGGACGGGUGAGUAACACGUGGGUAACCUACCCAUCAGAGGGGGAUAACACUUGGAUACAGGUGCUAAUACCGCAUAACAGUUUAUGCCGCAUGGCAUAAGAGUGAAAGGCGCUUUCGGGUGUCGCUGAUGGAUGGACCCGCGGUGCAUUAGCUAGUUGGUGAGGUAACGGCUCACCAAGGCCACGAUGCAUAGCCGACCUGAGAGGGUGAUCGGCCACACUGGGACUGAGACACGGCCCAGACUCCUACGGGAGGCAGCAGUAGGGAAUCUUCGGCAAUGGACGAAAGUCUGACCGAGCAACGCCGCGUGAGUGAAGAAGGUUUUCGGAUCGUAAAACUCUGUUGUUAGAGAAGAACAAGGACGUUAGUAACUGAACGUCCCCUGACGGUAUCUAACCAGAAAGCCACGGCUAACUACGUG